GGGCAAGUGGCGAAAUGGCAGACGCGCACGUUUCAGGUACGUGUGGAGUUAAAUCCUUGGAGGUUCGAGUCCUCUCUUGCCCA
RNAcentral lists this transfer RNA (83 nucleotides) under Microgenomates group bacterium RIFCSPLOWO2_01_FULL_47_10. RNAcentral's name for it is "tRNA-Leu". It matches the Rfam family "tRNA". Rfam says of the family: Transfer RNA (tRNA) molecules are approximately 80 nucleotides in length. Their secondary structure includes four short double-helical elements and three loops (D, anti-codon, and T loops). The record is from RNAcentral.